Molecule: ribosomal RNA, 432 nt
Filed under: uncultured bacterium
Lineage: Bacteria
Description: partial 16S ribosomal RNA
Rfam family: Bacterial small subunit ribosomal RNA
Source: RNAcentral
AACGAACGCUGGCGGCAUGCCUAACACAUGCAAGUCGAACGAUGCUUUCGGGCAUAGUGGCGCACGGGUGCGUAACGCGUGGGAAUCUGCCCUUGGGUUCGGAAUAACAGUGAGAAAUUGCUGCUAAUACCGGAUGAUGUCUUCGGACCAAAGAUUUAUCGCCCAGGGAUGAGCCCGCGUAGGAUUAGCUAGUUGGUGGGGUAAUGGCCUACCAAGGCGACGAUCCUUAGCUGGUCUGAGAGGAUGAUCAGCCACACUGGGACUGAGACACGGCCCAGACUCCUACGGGAGGCAGCAGUGGGGAAUAUUGGACAAUGGGCGCAAGCCUGAUCCAGCAAGGCCGCGUGAGUGAUGAAGGCCUUAGGGUUGUAAAGCUCUUUUACCCGGGAUGAUAAUGACAGUACCGGGAGAAUAAGCUCCGGCUAACUCCGU